GACAGAGGUGCCAAGCGUUAGGCGGAAUCACUGGGCUUAAAGCGUGUGUAGGCGGAAUUGUAAGUACCUUGUGAAAUCCCACAGCUCAACUGUGGAACUGCUCGGUAUACUGCUUUUCUUGAGCCACUUAGGGGCUGUCGGAACAAAUGGUGGAGCGGUGAAAUGCGUAGAUAUCAGGAGGAACACCGGUGGCGAAGGCGGAUCUCUGGGCCAUUACUGACGCUGAGGAGCGAAAGCGUGGGGAGCGAACAGG
Molecule: ribosomal RNA, 253 nt
Filed under: uncultured bacterium
Lineage: Bacteria
Description: partial 16S ribosomal RNA
Rfam family: Bacterial small subunit ribosomal RNA
Source: RNAcentral